GACGAACGCUGGCGGCGUGCCUAAUACAUGCAAGUCGAACGAGAGCGACCGGUGCUUGCACUGGUCAAUCUAGUGGCGAACGGGUGAGUAACACGUGGGUAACCUGCCCAUCAGAGGGGGAUAACAUUCGGAAACGGAUGCUAAAACCGCAUAGGUCCUUUAACCGCAUGGUUGAAGGAGGAAAAGAGGCGCAAGCUUCUGCUGAUGGAUGGACCCGCGGUGCAUUAGCUAGUUGGUGAGGUAACGGCUCACCAAGGCCGUGAUGCAUAGCCGACCUGAGAGGGUGAUCGGCCACAUUGGGACUGAGACACGGCCCAAACUCCUACGGGAGGCAGCAGUAGGGAAUCUUCCGCAAUGGACGCAAGUCUGACGGAGCAACGCCGCGUGAGUGAAGAAGGUUUUCGGAUCGUAAAACUCUGUUGUUAGAGAAGAACAAGUGCUAGAGUAACUGUUAGCACCUUGACGGUAUCUAACCAGAAAGC
RNAcentral lists this ribosomal RNA (482 nucleotides) under Granulicatella adiacens. RNAcentral's name for it is "bacterial SSU rRNA". It matches the Rfam family "Bacterial small subunit ribosomal RNA", at positions 28 to 491 of the family's 1533-position model. Lineage: Bacteria; Bacillati; Bacillota; Bacilli; Lactobacillales; Carnobacteriaceae. The record is from RNAcentral.